RNAcentral lists this ribosomal RNA (253 nucleotides) under uncultured bacterium. Its description in RNAcentral is "partial 16S ribosomal RNA". It matches the Rfam family "Bacterial small subunit ribosomal RNA", at positions 524 to 776 of the family's 1533-position model. The record is from RNAcentral.
GACAGAGGGUGCGAACGUUGUUCGGAAUUACUGGGCGUAAAGCGCGUGUAGGUGGCAUCGCAAGUCGGAUGUGAAAGCCCGGGGCUCAACCCCGGAAGUGCAUUCGAUACUGCGAAGCUAGAGUCUCGGAGAGGAUGGCGGAACUCUCGGUGUAGAGGUGAAAUUCGUAGAUAUCGAGAAGAACACCGGCGGCGAAGGCGGCCAUCUGGACGAUGAUUGACAUUGAGCCGCGAAAGCGUGGGGAGCAAACAGG